UAUUGAUGAGGCCGAGGCACAACAUUGCCCCGCCCUCCGCGCGCGAGCUGGGUUUUCGAUCGCACCACCACGCCAUUUUCCAUCGACGAGCGGAAAAAGGAACGUUACAAUUGAAGACGCGCCGGCGAUACUGUGCUCCGAAAUACAAUAAAUACGAUCCAGCCAUGCACCGUGAAUGUCCACUCGACUGCAAGGUCUACGUUGGAAAUCUGGGAAACAAUGGAAACAAGACAGAGCUAGAGAGGGCUUUUAGUUACUACGGGCCUCUUCGGAGCGUCUGGGUGGCGAGAAACCCCCCAGGCUUUGCCUUUGUAGAAUUUGAAGACCCCAGAGAUGCUUCCGAUGCCGUGCGAGAGCUUGACGGGAGAACAUUAUGCGGUUGCCGCGUGCGAGUGGAGCUGUCCAACGGCGAGAAGCGCAGCCGCACCCGUGGGGCUCCCCCUUCGUGGAGCCGGCGCCCCCGAGACCGAGAUGACUACAGGCGGCGUAGCAGCCCACCGCCGAGGCGAAGAGCCACCACCAUGCCUCUUCUCACCACCCUCAGAGUCAAUCAACUAGUCCUCUUUCAGCAUCAUGUGACUGCUGACCAUCGUGCCUCAAUCAGCUUGGCUGGUGCUGUCACAUGACCCAGGCACGGCCAGUCGUCAGGUUGCCACCAGGCCAUUGGUUCCUCAUCAUGCUCUUCUCAACCACCUCCUCCUCCAACCUUAACCCAAACGACAGCGGCCCCACCUCACAUUCCAAUCGGCGUAUCGCGUUUCCAAAUGUCGACAAGCUACCUACCAGCGGCAGCCGUCGGCUAACCAAUUAAAGCAGGGAAAAAGUCCACAGCCAGCCCCCACCUGCCUGCCACCUUAUCACCUCGCAGCAUCUGGCCAGGCCUAUUCAGCCAAUUCUACCUACCCGGCCGACAGUCUGCCUCCCUUUCGUCAUAUCUAGCUUGUUGAAAACCAAAAAUACUAGUAAGUUUUCCUGCUUCAUUCAGUUCACUGAUAACAGUUUUAAAAGUGAAGACAGAGCUGGGUUACAAAAGGUUGUUCUUUCUUUCUUUUCAAUUAUGAUUUACAUUUACAUAAGUUUGCCAUUUUGUCACCCAUUACUGUAGUUUCUUGUUUCAAAGGGUAAAGAGUCCACCACCACCAAAUAUCUGGAACUUUGUGUCCAGACAUUUUGAUUCUAAGUUUUUUGUCCCGGGGCUCUGAGCACAGUUAUGUGGUUUUAUCACAUUGUAGCCUGUUUUUUGUCAAGGUAUAUCACUUUGUAUUUGCUUAUGUUGUCUGUGUGACAGCCCACAGUGCAGUGCUCCAUCCUCAGAUAAUGACAGGUGGCACAUCUUACUCUGCUAUCAUGGAUGGACAUUGUACUGUGGCCACAUUCUGAGGACUAUUCUAGUUCUAUAUGGCCCCAUGCUAGUAGUUCAAGUGUUACAUAUACUUUUGUUGACGGAAGCCCACAUACUAACGUGCUUUCUAGCCGUGACGGAUGUGUCCGUUGAGGUUCUUAACAUCUUCACAUUUUCCCUGCACAGAUCUCCACGCAGGAGGAGCUUUAGUCGUAGUCGCAGCAGGUCUUUCUCUAGAGACAGGAGAAGGGAGAGGUCCCUCUCCCGGGACAGGAACCACAAACCUUCGAGGUCCUUCUCUCGAUCAAGGAGUCGCUCCAGAUCAAAUGACAGGAAGUAGAAGA
RNA transcript from Dunckerocampus dactyliophorus (ringed pipefish), 1686 nucleotides. It is a transcript of the gene named serine and arginine rich splicing factor 3b, with no coding region annotated. The record is from RefSeq and is a predicted model, not a curated record. NCBI's taxonomy places the organism in Eukaryota, Metazoa, Chordata, Actinopteri, Syngnathiformes, Syngnathidae. The transcript is spliced from 6 exons.